AACGAACGCUGGCGGCAUGCCUAACACAUGCAAGUCGAACGAGACCUUCGGGUCUAGUGGCGCACGGGUGCGUAACGCGUGGGAACCUGCCCUUAGGUUCGGAAUAACUCCCCGAAAGGGGUGCUAAUACCGGAUAAUGUCUUCGGACCAAAGAUUUAUCGCCUUUGGAUGGGCCCGCGUUGGAUUAGCUAGUUGAUAGGGUAAAAGCCUACCAAGGCGACGAUCCAUAGCUGGUCUGAGAGGAUGAUCAGCCACACUGGGACUGAGACACGGCCCAGACUCCUACGGGAGGCAGCAGUGGGUAAUAUUGGACAAUGGGCGAAAGCCUGAUCCAGCAAUGCCGCGUGAGUGAUGAAGGCCUUAGGGUUGUAAAGCUCUUUUACCCGGGGUGAUAAUGACAGUACCGGGAGAAUAAGCUCCGGCUAACUCCGUG
This 433-nucleotide ribosomal RNA is filed under the name uncultured bacterium. Its description in RNAcentral is "partial 16S ribosomal RNA". It matches the Rfam family "Bacterial small subunit ribosomal RNA", at positions 29 to 507 of the family's 1533-position model. The record is from RNAcentral.